UACGGGGGGGGCAAGCGUUGUUCGGAAUUACUGGGCGUAAAGGGCUCGUAGGUGGCCAACUAAGUCAGACGUGAAAUCCCUCGGCUUAACCGGGGAACUGCGUCUGAUACUGGAUGGCUUGAGUUCGGGAGAGGGAUGCGGAAUUCCAGGUGUAGCGGUGAAAUGCGUAGAUAUCUGGAGGAACACCGGUGGCGAAGGCGGCGGCCUGGACCGAUACUGACGCUGAGGAGCGAAAGCCAGGGGAGCAAACGGG
RNAcentral lists this ribosomal RNA (253 nucleotides) under uncultured bacterium. RNAcentral's name for it is "partial 16S ribosomal RNA". It matches the Rfam family "Bacterial small subunit ribosomal RNA", at positions 524 to 776 of the family's 1533-position model. The record is from RNAcentral.